GAUGAACGCUGGCGGCGUGCCUAAUACAUGCCAGUCGAGCGAACGGACGAGAAGCUUGCUUUUCUGAUGUUAGCGGCGGACGGGUGAGUAACACGUGGAUAACCUACCUAUAAGACUGGGAUAACUUCGGGAAACCGGAGCUAAUACCGGAUAAUAUUUUGAACCGCAUGGUUCAAAAGUGAAAGACGGUCUUGCUGUCACUUAUAGAUGGAUCCGCGCUGCAUUAGCUAGUUGGUAAGGUAACGGCUUACCAAGGCAACGAUGCAUAGCCGACCUGAGAGUGUGAGCGGCCACACUGGAACUGAGACACGGUCCAGACUCCUACGGGAGGCAGCAGUAGGGAUUCUGCCGCAAUGGGCGAAAGCCUGACGGAGCAACGCCGCGUGAGUGAUGAAGAUCUUCGGAUCGUAAAACUCUGUUAUUAGGGAAGAACAUAUGUGUAAGUAACUGUGCACAUCUUGACGGUACCUAAACAGAAAGCCACGGCUAACUACGUG
This 497-nucleotide ribosomal RNA is filed under the name uncultured bacterium. RNAcentral's name for it is "partial 16S ribosomal RNA". It matches the Rfam family "Bacterial small subunit ribosomal RNA", at positions 28 to 507 of the family's 1533-position model. The record is from RNAcentral.